AACAUUGAGCUGAAGGUUGAAGUGGAGAGUUUGAAACGAGAACUCCAGGACAAGAAACAGCAUCUGGAUAAAACAUGGUAAGUUGUAAUUUUAAGCUCUGGUCCUUUCCAGAGUCUGUCUUACUAAUCUGAGAGCAAUAGAUUUAGAACCAAAUUCCUUAACCUAUCUGUGGCAUUUGAAUCCUGUGUCUGAUUCAGGAACUGAAACAAUAGAUUUUCAUAUGCUGUGUUUCCCUUGGGCUCUCUCUCUAUUACUAGGUCAGAUGGACCUUGUCAUAAGUUGGUAAAUCCACCAGGCCUAAGAUUGCAAACUUCCUAUUAGUCAGCAAUCAACUAAAUUGAAACAGUGAAUGUUUCCACUUUUAGUAGAGACAAAUGCAAAUAAGCUUUAUCAAACAGUAUCAGUCAGCCUAUAAUAACAUCAAGAGCUGAGAUAACGUUUGGGGAAAAUGGGCACUCUCAUACACUACCAGUGAGUGUAAAUUGUGACAACAUUUUUAGUAUGUGAUGCUACCUAUUAUAGUAAAAAAGGAGGAUUUCCUUUGAUCAAACAAUCCCUAGAAGGAAUCUGUUUCUUAUAAAUAAAAGCGUUAGUGUGAAAGGAUAAAUGUAUAAGGAUGUUUAUUGCAUCAUUAGUUGUAAUGGCAAAAAACUAGGAACAAUUAUCCAUCAACAGGGCAUUGAUUGAAUAAAUUUUGGUAUUACUACACUGUGGACUAUUAUGCAGUUAUUGAAGAAUGAGUUCGCUCUAUAUUAUUGUCCUAGUGGGAAUUCCUUGAUUAAAGUAAGGGGGAAAAGUUGCUGAGUGAUAAUUAUAGUAUAUUGAGGAAGAGUGAGAUCACAGUCCGUGAUAGGGAGAAGACUUGAUAUUUUUCUUUAUAUACAUUUAUAUUGCUAAAAUAGUUACUUUUAUAAUUUACAGUUUUUUAAAAGCUUAGUGUUAAAUGACAAGUAUUACUAAAAUUAUUAAAAAUAUUUUCAGACUUCAAUAAAGUUUCAGAAUACAAAAAUUAAUGUACAAAAAUCAGUAGCAUUUCACCAGGCACGGUGGCUCACGCCUGUAAUCCCAGCACUUUGGGAGGCCGAGGUGGGUGGAUCACGAGGUCAGGAGAUCAAGACCAUCCUGGCUAACACGGUGAACCCCGUCUCUACUAAAAAUACAAAAAAAAAAAUUAGCCAGGUGUGGUGGCAGUCGCCUGUAGUCCCAGCUACUUGGGAGGCUGAGGCAGGAGAAUGGCGUGAACCCGGGAGGCGGAGCUUGCAGUGAGCCGAGAUCAUGCCACUGCACUCCAGCCUGGGCGACAGAGCCAGACUCCGUCUCAAAAAAAAAAAAAAAAAAUCAGUAGCAUUUCUACACACCAAUAACAUUCAAGCUGAGAGCCAAAUCAAGAAUGCAAUCCCAUUUACAAUAUCCGCUAAAAAAAAAAUACCUUGGAAUACAUCUAACCAAGGAGGUGAAAGAUCUCUACAAGGAGAACUACGAAACACUGCUAAAAGAAAUCAUAGAUGACACAAACAAAUGGAAAAACAUUCCAUGCUCAUGGAUUGGAAGAAUCAAUAUCAUUAAAAUGGCCAUACUGCCCAAAGUAAUCUACAGAUUCAACACUAUUCCUAUCAAACUACCAAUGUCAUUCAUCAAAUGACCAAGAUCAAAGCCAGAGGCAUCACACUAUCCAACUUCAAACUAUACUACAAGGCUACAGUUGCCAAAACAGCAUGUUGCUGGAAAAAAAAAAGACACAUAGACCAAUGGAAGCAAAUAGAGAACCCAAAAAUAAAGCUACACACCGACAGCAAUCUGGUCUUUGACAAAAUCAACAAAAAUAAGCAGUGGGGAAAGCACUCCCCUAUUCGAUGGUGGUGGGAUAGAUAACUGGCUAGCCAUAUGCAAAAGAAUGAAACUGGGCCCCUACCUUUCAGCACAUAUAAAAAUUAACUCAAGAUGGAGUAAAGAUGUAAAUGUAAGACCUCAAACUAUAAGAAUCCUAGAAGAAAACCCAAGAAACACCAUUCUGGACAUUGGCCUCAGGAAUUUAUGACUAAGUCCUCAAAAGCAAUUGCAACAAAAACAAAAAGAGACAAGUCGGAUUUAUUUAAACUAAAGAGUUUUGCACAGCAAAAGAAACUAUCAACAGAGUAAACAGACAACCUGUAGAAUCUAAUAAAAUUUGCAACUAGCAUCUGAAAAGGGUCUAAUAUCCAGAAUCCAUAAGGAAUUUAACAAUUGAACAAUGAAAAACAAAUAACCCCGUUAAAAAAAUGAGCAAAAGGCAUGAUCAAACACUUUUCAAAAGAAGACAUACAAAUGCCCACCAAAUAUAUGAAAAAUUGCUCCACAUCACUAAUCAUCCGAGAAAUAUAAAUCAAAACCACAAUGAGAUACCAUCUCACACCAGUCAGAAUGGCUACUAUUAAAACGUCUAAAAACAACAGAUGCCGGUGAGGCUGCAUAGAAAUGGGAAUGCUUACACGCUGUUGGUGGAAAUAUAAACCAGUUCAGUCACUGCAGAAAGCAGUUUGGAGAUUUAUCAAAGAACAACCUUAAUGGUUCCACUUGCUAAACUGUAUGUCUGGCUCUGAUUGGCUAAUGCUCUGUGGUUUUAGGGCUGAUGUGGAGAAUCUCAACAGUCAGAAUGAAGCUGAGCUCCGACGCCAGUUUGAGGAGCGACAGCAGGAGACGGAGCAUGUUUAUGAGCUCUUGGAGAAUAAGAUCCAGCUUCUGCAGGAGGAAUCCAGGCUAGCAAAGAAUGAAGCUGCGCGGAUGGCAGCUCUGGUGGAAGCAGAGAAGGAGUGUAACCUGGAGCUCUCAGAGAAACUGAAGGGAGUCACCAAAAACUGGGAAGAUGUACCAGGAGACCAGGUCAAGCCCGACCAAUACACUGAGGCCCUGGCCCAGAGGGACAAGUAGGUGCCUUCCGUGCUCUUUUUGUCGCUUGUCUUUUGCCCAUUCUCAAGGCAUGCAGCAGCUGCCCUGUUCCCUUUCAAGGACUGACAGUAGGAGCUUCACUAUUUCUAAGACUUUAUGGGCCCACAACCGAAGACAUUCUUUUCAGGGUUGAAUUUUCAGUGGUAUCCAUUAUGAAAACUCACUUCAUGGAUUCAGUGGGCAAAUAGCGGCAAGCAAGAGACAUGGAUUCACUUAUUCAGAAAACAUUUACUGGGCAUGCCACAUGCCAGAUACCGGGCUAAGUAUCUGGCAUGUGUUACAGAAACAAAAGACCUAAAUCUUGUCACCAAGAAACAUGUUACAUGAUUUUAAUAAGUUCCCUGAUAGAAGAGCAUGGGGUGCUCUGGGGAAAUAUUGGAGGGUCAUCCAUUCCACAUUAAAAGAGCAAGUUGUC
This 3340-nucleotide small RNA is filed under the name Pan troglodytes (chimpanzee). RNAcentral describes it as "retained intron". Lineage: Eukaryota; Metazoa; Chordata; Mammalia; Primates; Hominidae. The record is from RNAcentral.